CAGUCGAAUGGUAACAGGUUAAGCUGACGAGUGGCGAACGGGUGAGUAAUAUAUCGGAACGUGCCCAGUCGUGGGGGAUAACUGCUCGAAAGAGCAGCUAAUACCGCAUACGACCUGAGGGUGAAAGCGGGGGAUCGUAAGACCUCGCGCGAUUGGAGCGGCCGAUAUCAGAUUAGGUAGUUGGUGGGGUAAAGGCUCACCAAGCCAACGAUCUGUAGCUGGUCUGAGGGGACGACCAGCCACACUGGGACUGAGACACGGCCCAGACUCCUACGGGAGGCAGCAGUGGGGAAUUUUGGACAAUGGACGCAAGUCUGAUCCAGCCAUGCCGCGUGCGGGAAGAAGGCCUUCGGGUUGUAAACCGCUUUUGUCAGGGAAGAAAAGGUUCUGGUUAAUACCUGGGACUCAUGACGGUACCUGAAGAAUAAGCACCGGCUAACUACGUGCCAGCAGCCGCGGUAAUACGUAGGGUGUAAGCGUUAAUCGGAAUUACUGGGCGUAAAGCGUGCGCAGGCGGUUAUGCAAGACAGAGGUGAAAUCCCCGGGCUCAACCUGGGAACUGCCUUUGUGACUGCAUAGCUAGAGUACGGUAGAGGGGGAUGGAAUUCCGCGUGUAGCAGUGAAAUGCGUAGAUAUGCGGAGGAACACCGAUGGCGAAGGCAAUCCCCUGGACCUGUACUGACGCUCAUGCACGAAAGCG
Molecule: ribosomal RNA, 700 nt
Filed under: uncultured bacterium
Lineage: Bacteria
Description: bacterial SSU rRNA
Rfam family: Bacterial small subunit ribosomal RNA
Source: RNAcentral